This 59-nucleotide small nucleolar RNA is filed under the name Euglena gracilis. RNAcentral describes it as "Eg-m105 box C/D methylation-guide". The record is from RNAcentral. Lineage: Eukaryota; Euglenozoa; Euglenophyceae; Euglenales; Euglenaceae.
AACGUGAUGAAGUCUCAAUCAGCACUGCUUCUGACAUUUGAUGAUUCAAACAGCUGACA